This 65-nucleotide small RNA is filed under the name Arabidopsis thaliana (thale cress). RNAcentral describes it as "ATSL091830". Lineage: Eukaryota; Viridiplantae; Streptophyta; Magnoliopsida; Brassicales; Brassicaceae. The record is from RNAcentral.
AUAUAUAUAUAUAUAUAUCUUUAAAUUAUUAAAAAAUCACAUAAAUAUCUUCGGGAUUCAAAUUU